Molecule: ribosomal RNA, 253 nt
Filed under: uncultured bacterium
Lineage: Bacteria
Description: partial 16S ribosomal RNA
Rfam family: Bacterial small subunit ribosomal RNA
Source: RNAcentral
UACAGAGGGUGCGAGCGUUGUCCGGAAUCACUGGGCGUAAAGGGCGCGUAGGCGGCUUGAUAAGCGUGCGGUGAAAGCCCGGGGCUCAACCCCGGGUCGGCCGUGCGAACUGUCGAGCUGGAGCACUGUAGAGGCAGGUGGAAUUCCCGGUGUAGUGGUGGAAUGCGUAGAUAUCGGGAGGAACACCAGUGGCGAAGGCGGUUGCCUGGGGCUUUGCUGACGCUGAUGCGCGAAAGCGUGGGGAGCGAUCCGG